Nannospalax galili (Upper Galilee mountains blind mole rat) is the source of this 1564-nucleotide RNA transcript. It is a transcript of the gene named BRMS1 transcriptional repressor and anoikis regulator, with no coding region annotated. The transcript has 10 exons. NCBI's taxonomy places the organism in Eukaryota, Metazoa, Chordata, Mammalia, Rodentia, Spalacidae. The record is from RefSeq and is a predicted model, not a curated record.
UAUGGAGACCGGUCCGCGGUAUCCCAGCAUGCCUGGACAAAGUGGUACAACUAUAAGUCCGGGCGCCUCAUGAUGACGUACACGGAAGCGCCGACAAGCUCCACCUCUUGGGGAAAGAGGGACGUGCGCUGCGCUUCCGGGAGCGCGGCGGCGGCAGUUACUGAUCAGGUUCAGCAGCUCUCGGGGAGUCUUGGACGUGAGACCGGAGCCCCCUGUCCCCGCGAGUCCAGAUGCCCAUCCAGCCCCCAGGCAAAGAAACAGAAGAGAUGGAGGCAGAAGCUGAUUCAGCUGCUGAGAUGAAUGGGGAAGAGGAUGAGAGUGAAGAAGAACGGAGCGGCAGUCAGACUGAGUCAGAGGAGGAGAGUUCAGAGAUGGAUGAUGAGGAUUAUGAACGGCGCCGCAGCGAGUGUGUCAGUGAGAUGCUGGACCUGGAGAAGCAGUUUUCAGAGCUGAAGGAGAAGUUGUUCAGGGAGCGGCUGAGCCAGCUGCGCUUGCGGCUGGAGGAAGUGGGGGCUGAGAGAGCCCCAGAAUACACAGAGCCUCUCGGGGGACUGCAGCAGAGCCUCAAGAUCCGCAUUCAGGUGGCAGGAAUCUACAAGGGCUUCUGUCUGGAUGUGAUCAGGAAUAAGUAUGAGUGUGAGCUGCAGGGAGCCAAGCAGCACUUGGAGAGUGAGAAGCUGCUGCUGUAUGAUGCACUGCUUGGGGAGCUGCAGGAGCGGAUCCAGAGACUGGAGGAGGACCGCCAGAGCCUGGACAUCAGCUCUGAGUGGUGGGAUGACAAACUACAUGCCAGAGGCAGCUCGAAGACCUGGGACUCUUUACCGCCCAGCAAGAGGAAGAAGGCACCUCUUGUUUCCGGUAUCCUUCCACUCAAGGUCACCUGAAACUGAGCAGGACAUCAGGGCAGGCCCUGGACUCAGGAAGGCCCAUACAUUGUAUACAUGCUGCAGGAGAUCGACAUCCUGGAGGACUGGACAGCUAUCAAAAAGGCCAGGGCAGCAGUGUCCCCUCAGAAGAGAAAAGCAGAUGGACCAUGAUCCCGCUGUUCACAGCCAGAGGGUCCUUGGAGUAACUGGCACCACACCCAGGACUUAGAUUUUUCUGCAAAGGCAGGGGCUGCCCGGUGGCUCUCCAGUGUCACUGCUGCCCCCUGCCUUCAGCUAUCACUGACCUGGAGCCCUUUUGUCCUCCUUGGGCCUGCAUUUCUAUGGCCCUGGAGCUGACCUGGCCAAACAAGACUGUUGACUCCAUCCCCGACCAGCCCACCACCUCCCCCUCUCAAAGAGUAGCUUCCUCAGUUUCCCCCGACAAAAAGGAUGGGCCUUGUCUGAAGCCAAAGCAACAGUCCUCCUGACCUUUGACCCUGGCCCUAGCCACUGAGCCAGGGAGCAGGUUCCUACUGCAGGAGGAGCUCUUGAGCCAGAAACAACUUGUUGGGGUCCUGCCGGACCAGACUGGAGCUGGAGGUUACAUCUGGGCUCCCCAGAUUUUCUCAGGGCCAUUCCUGGCAUCUGCCUCCUCCCAGAUUGCAAAGACUGGAAUAAAACAUUUCCUGGGACCGUGA